Molecule: ribosomal RNA, 237 nt
Filed under: uncultured bacterium
Lineage: Bacteria
Description: partial 16S ribosomal RNA
Rfam family: Bacterial small subunit ribosomal RNA
Source: RNAcentral
AUCGCGUGGGUGAUCUACCUAGAGGUGGGGGAUAGCCUCGGGAAACCGAGGGUAAUACCGCAUGAGUCCUCAAUGACAUAAGUCGAUGAGGGGAAAGGCGGGGCUCCUUCGGGACCUGUCGCCUCUGGAUGAGCCCGCGUCCGAUUAGCUAGUUGGUGGGGUAAUGGCCUACCAAGCAACGAUCGGUAGCCGGCCUGAGAGGGUGAACGGCCACAUUGGGACUGAGACACGGCCCAG